CAUCCUAAAUACCAGAAAUUAUAGAUAGAAGGCUUUUGUUUCUAUUUUUAAUCAAGGGAGAAGCUUUUUAUUUUUUUCAAAAGGUCCAGCAAGUGCUGGCUUUCAAUUAUAUUAGCAGGGAGAAUAUAGUUACAGACUGCCGAAGCAGACAAGGAUUAAAAGAAAAGAAAGAAGAACUAACUAAAACAGCUUAAAAACAACACUCAAGGUGGUUCCCACAACAAUCUUCUGAGAGCUUUGGCGCCGGCAAAAGCCCAUGCCUGGGCCUCGUCCCUAAUGAAAUUGAUGAUUUGACGCAAGGAGGUUUCCUUGUCCCGGAAGAUCCUUUCGUUCCUUUCGCGC
Molecule: long non-coding RNA, 342 nt
Filed under: Brachypodium distachyon (stiff brome)
Lineage: Eukaryota; Viridiplantae; Streptophyta; Magnoliopsida; Poales; Poaceae
Description: long non-coding RNA (BDIS_LNC003034)
Source: RNAcentral